RNAcentral lists this unclassified non-coding RNA (158 nucleotides) under uncultured fungus. RNAcentral describes it as "sequence contains ITS1". Lineage: Eukaryota; Fungi. The record is from RNAcentral.
UGUCUGUUUGUUGUUCGUGUCUCAGAUGCGACGCGGCGUAGAUAAUGGGAUGACGCGGGCACGCGCCCCCGCAAAGGGGCGCCGCCGCUGCGCGGCCACAGGGGGAUAAAAAGGCGGAUUAUGCAGUGAUGAUCCUUCCGCAGGUUCACCUACGGAAA